Long non-coding RNA from Pelmatolapia mariae (spotted tilapia), 421 nucleotides. RefSeq lists it as uncharacterized. NCBI's taxonomy places the organism in Eukaryota, Metazoa, Chordata, Actinopteri, Cichliformes, Cichlidae. The transcript is spliced from 3 exons. The record is from RefSeq and is a predicted model, not a curated record.
AGCACCGACCAACAUGUAUCAGUGAUUAAGCAAGAGUGCCAAAAAACUAGGCCAAAUGUGGAUGUCAUUCAAACGCACCUCAGGAAAAUACAGAAGUACAGAACACACUACAUUCUUCAGCAUACUACUGAAGAGGUUCUACGAGAAUUCCCAUGUCUCACUAUCCCUGUUGUGCUUCUUGAAGAGGCUUCCAUGUUACUUAAAACUGAUGUGGACAAAAAAGUAAUCCGAGGAUUCAGUAAGUUGGCAGCGAAGCUUGUGUCAAUAGCCCCAAACAGCAACCUUAAAAGCCUUUGCUUAAAAUCUGUUGAUGAGAGCCAGACAGACACUGAAAGAAAAGGUCAGAUAGUAAACACAGCUGUUCUUCUCCUGCCAUCUAUUUUCAAAGAAAAUGCCUCUCAUCUCUUCGUCAUAAAUAAGG